Molecule: ribosomal RNA, 253 nt
Filed under: uncultured bacterium
Lineage: Bacteria
Description: partial 16S ribosomal RNA
Rfam family: Bacterial small subunit ribosomal RNA
Source: RNAcentral
UACGUAGGUGGCGAGCGUUACUCGGAUUCACUAGGCGUAAAGCGGGUGUAGGCGGGUAGCUAAGUUUUCUGUGCAAGCCUCGGGCUCAACCCGAGGAGGUCAGAAAAUACUGGUUAUCUUGAGUGAGGUGUGGGAGGCUGGAAUUCCCGGUGUAGCGGUGAAAUGCGUAGAUAUCGGGAAGAACACCGAUGGCGAAAGCGGGCCUCUGGGCCUUUACUGACGCUGAGACCCGAAAGCUAGGGGAGCAAACAGG